This 253-nucleotide ribosomal RNA is filed under the name uncultured bacterium. Its description in RNAcentral is "partial 16S ribosomal RNA". It matches the Rfam family "Bacterial small subunit ribosomal RNA", at positions 524 to 776 of the family's 1533-position model. The record is from RNAcentral.
UACGGGGGGGGCAAGCGUUGUUCGGAAUUACUGGGCGUAAAGGGCUCGUAGGCGGCCAACUAAGUCAGACGUGAAAUCCCUCGGCUUAACCGGGGAACUGCGUCUGAUACUGGAUGGCUUGAGUUUGGGAGAGGGAUGCGGAAUUCCUGGUGUAGCGGUGAAAUGCGCAGAUAUCAGGAGGAACACCGGUGGCGAAGGCGGGUCUCUGGGCCGAUACUGACGCUGAGGAGCGAAAGCGUGGGGAGCAAACAGG